GAAGUUUAGCUGAGAUACAUGCCGCCAAAACGCCUGAGCGGCUUAGAUUGUUGGUGUGGGGUAAAUUGGGUAUGGUCGUAUAAGGUUCAGUACCCGGCGCCUCCACCAAAAACCGGCCAGGCGAGCUUUGCUUCAGACCGGCUUUUGAUGGGGGCGAAAUAGGAUCGACAAGGGCGUAAAGAUCGACUUUUUGCUCGGCAUUGUACCACCGUUAUCGGGCUAAAAUUGUAGUUGCAAACGACAACUAUGCGGAAGCUCGUCUCGCUGCCUAACGGUGGUGUGACACUUCAAAUCAAGUCCUGAAGGUUCGCACCUUAAGGCGGGGUUCGAAGGUACCUGGCAACAGAAACCUUCACC
RNAcentral lists this transfer-messenger RNA (357 nucleotides) under Martinezella rhizogenes. Its description in RNAcentral is "Rhizobium rhizogenes transfer-messenger RNA". It matches the Rfam family "Alphaproteobacteria transfer-messenger RNA", at positions 98 to 355 of the family's 355-position model. From Rfam's summary of the family: Bacterial tmRNA, also known as 10Sa RNA or SsrA, is named for its dual tRNA and mRNA-like properties. Lineage: Bacteria; Pseudomonadati; Pseudomonadota; Alphaproteobacteria; Hyphomicrobiales; Rhizobiaceae. The record is from RNAcentral. RNAcentral also lists the same sequence under 1 other name.